Molecule: long non-coding RNA, 161 nt
Organism: Bufo bufo (common toad)
Lineage: Eukaryota; Metazoa; Chordata; Amphibia; Anura; Bufonidae
Exons: 4
Source: RefSeq, a predicted model, not a curated record
AUCCUCCCCCCUGUGCUGCCUAAUCACAGGGAGAAGGAAUGCCCAGGAGAGCAGCUGAUGUCUCCUGCUCAUCGCUCCGAUAGUAGUAAUUAGCAUAUGGAGCAGGAGACAGUAAUGGGGGCACAGCGGGCGAUUGGAGCAGCGCCCAGGAAUAAUAGUAA